AUUAGAAUUCAUUAAUUAAUAUUAAUAUUUAAUUAACAUUAAAGGAUGGUUUUAGAAUAUAAAGAAAAGAAUGUUAGUCAAUGUGCCUUGUACCACUUACCAUAAACAUUAAUUAGGCUAUAGCAAAAUUGUAUAUACCUUUAGAAUUCCUCCCCUUCCAUUAGGUAUAAUGCUGAUUUCCCCCCCUCAAAUUUAAUCAACAUACAGGAGUAAAUUUGAACAUAUGAGAUACAUUGUGAAUGGAAAUAUUAUUCUUGUGUAUCUUGGGGUCUAACACUAAGAUAAAAAGAAUUUUUAAGGGGCGUAUCAAUUAAUGUCAAAAGACUGAUCAAGAAAACUAAUUUUUCUAAAUAAAAUUAACACACCACUGUACUUUGAAAUUAUUUAUAUUUUGUUGCCCAUGCACUUAAAUUUUUUUUUAAUUUUUUUCAAGUAAAGAUCGAAUAUUUUCUUGUUCAAGAAGCUUGUUGAUAGCUUUUAAUCUUCUCUGUGAAAAAAUGAUGCAAAGAAGAGUCCAGAACCUCGAUUUAUUUUCUUGUCAAAUAGACAAAGGUGACAACGAACUGGGGCUUUGUACUUGUAUCUUCUUUGAUCCAGCAGAUGAGGAUGGAAAGGAACCAGGGGUUUUUAUAACUGAAAUUAUUGAAGGAGGUGCAGUUCACAAACUUGGAUGUAUCCGUGUAUUUGACCAGAUUAUUAAAAUAGGUGACAUCAAUCUAAUUGGAUUGGAUGAAGCAGAAAUCGUCUCUACUUUUAAAAAAAUGGACGAUUCUCCUUUCCAGAUUGAAAUUGGCCGCGAACCACCUGAAGUGAAGUCAGAACUUAUCGAACUCCUUGAGUUGUCAGAGGAAAGGAAGAAAUAUUUUAUGGAUUCGCUCAUAGUACAGGAAAAAAUUGGAGAUAUCACUAUUGUGAGAGGACAAGCAAGUAUUUGUAGAAGUCCAAGAGUACCAUGGUUCUGGAUGGCCAGUGACCUGAAAUUUGUUAUUGGGGUACUGAAAACAUUAAUAGAAGAAGAUCAGGGAUGUAGAAAAGACAUCCAAGCUAUCUUUGAGCUGGCUAACAUUUUUCAAGACAAUUAUAAAGACAUUAACACAUACAAUGUGAAUAUGGAACAGAAACCUGAUGAAUCAGAUAAAGAAGGCACAUUUUUACCAUUGGCCCCAGAAGAAGAAUUUUUACUAGGACAAUUUAAAAUAAAGCCUAAAGAGAUAAAAAAUGAAGAUUUAUCACCAGGGCAAUUAUUAGCCCAAGGGGAUUUCAAUUCAGAUGAGAAAAAUGAGGCUCAGAGAAGAUAUUCAGAUAGUUACCUUCCCAGCUGUGACUUCAUGGCUUCUGGCUCUAAAAUGAAGAACAUAGAGACCCCAAUAAAAAAAGAAAAAGAAGAAGAAGAAAUAGUAGUGGAGGAAGAGAUUAUUAGCACUGGAAAACCUACAGAGGGAAAGGCUAAAAAGAGAUUUUCCUGGUUCCGCAAUAUCAAAGAACGCAAGCUGUGGAACUUCUUUCAUUUUAAAAAACAUGACAAACAAGUAAAGAAUGUGCACAAGUGGGAAGAAAUUGAUCAAGAGGUAUUGGAAGAUUACUCUCCUUAUUCUACUGAAGCCCCUAAAACAUUGCCAACAGAGUGGACAAAUAUUGAAGUUGGUAAUUGGUUAUGGAGCAUUGGAAUGGAGGAGUAUGUUGUAAAAUUUUAUUGUAAAGGAAUAAGUGGUGAAAAACUCCUUACACUGGACAAUCGCUCGCUAAAAGAAAUCGAAGUCAACAAGAAGAAAGACCGCCGGAAAAUACUUAAGGCUAUUAAGAAAGUUAGAGAUUUUUGGGAAAAAAAUCAUCAUUUCGUCUUAUUAUAGAAAUUGAUGGAAAGAAGACACAGAACCUGAAAGAUGGCAAAAAUGGAAAAUGCAAUUACUUUUGUUAUAUUGACUUUUCAUCAUUUUACUUCUGUUACUUUUGUUAUAUGAACUUUUAAGGGAUUUUACUUCCAUGUUACUUUUGUUAUAUGAACUUUUAAGGGAUUUUAGUUCCAUGUUACUUUUGUUAUAUGAACUUUUAAUCAUUUUAUUACUGUUACUUUUUUUAUUAUUAACUUUUAAUUAUUUCACUUUCAUGUUACAUUUGUUAUAUGAACUUUUAAGGGAUUUUACUUCCAUGUUAUUUUUGUUAUUAUUAACUUUUAAUCAUUUCACUUCCAUGUUACUUUUGUUAUAUGAACUUUUAAGUGAUUUUACUUCCAUGUUACUUUUGAUAUAUGAACUUUUAAGGGAUUUUACUUCCAUGUUACUUUUGUUAUAUGAACUUUUAAUCAUUUCACUUCCAUGUUACUUUUGUUAUAUAGAACUUUUAAGGGAUUUUACUUCCAUGUUAAUUUUGUUAUAUGAACUUUUAAUCAUUUUAUUACUGUUACUUUUGUUAUUAUUAACUUUUAAUCAUUUCACUUCUAUGUUUCUUUUGCUUUCUUAUUAACUUUUAAUUAUUUCAUUUUUAAGUAAGUAUUAUUUUGAUAGAGGAUAAUUUUUGCACAGGUUAAUAAUUGUUAAUAUCAUACAUAUAACAUAUGAAAAAAAUGGUUAUAAUAAGCACUUAUACUUUUUUAUAAGAACUAAUAUGGAAUUUCCCCCAUAUGAUCAUUUUGUAAGUAGCAAUCAUUCUAAUCUAACAAAAUUUUUAGUUAUUUUUCCUUUUCAACUUUUCAUUGCCACUGCCACCUGCUUUAAAGAAUCUGUCCCAAGUACUCUUUAUUAGUUCAUAAUCCCAGAGAACUCAAUAGGCUUUAGUCAAGCCCUCAUGAUGCUCUGUUACUUUUGUUUCAGAAUCUAUAUAUAAACAAAAGAAAUGCAUAUAAGAAUCUGUACAUAUUAUAGAUUUCCCUUAAGCAUACAUAUUGUUCAUGAGAUCUCCUUAUUACCUUACUUUUUUUUGUCAUAAUCCUCUCCAAAUCAUAUUUUAAGAGCUACAAAGUAUAGUUUUAUAUUCAUCACUCUCUUAUAGAAUUUAGUUUAAAUUUCUAUCAAAGUAUUUUAAAUAACAAUAAAAAUAACUUCAUAAAACUUUCCCCCUUAAAA
Monodelphis domestica (gray short-tailed opossum) is the source of this 3062-nucleotide long non-coding RNA. Lineage: Eukaryota; Metazoa; Chordata; Mammalia; Didelphimorphia; Didelphidae. The record is from Ensembl.